RNAcentral lists this ribosomal RNA (468 nucleotides) under uncultured bacterium. Its description in RNAcentral is "partial 16S ribosomal RNA". It matches the Rfam family "Bacterial small subunit ribosomal RNA", at positions 28 to 507 of the family's 1533-position model. The record is from RNAcentral.
GACGAACGCUGGCGGCGUGCUUAACACAUGCAAGUCGAACGGAAAGGCCCUGCUUUUGUGGGGUUCUCGAGUGGCGAACGGGUGAGUAACACGUGAGUAACCUGCCCUUGACUUUGGGAUAACUUCAGGAAACUGGGGCUAAUACCGGAUAGGAGCUCCUGCUGCAUGGUGGGGGUUGGAAAGUUUCGGCGGUUGGGGAUGGACUCGCGGCUUAUCAGCUUGUUGGUGGGGUAGUGGCUUACCAAGGCUUUGACGGGUAGCCGGCCUGAGAGGGUGACCGGCCACAUUGGGACUGAGAUACGGCCCAGACUCCUACGGGAGGCAGCAGUGGGGAAUAUUGCACAAUGGGCGGAAGCCGGAUGCAGAAACGCCGCGUGCGGGAUGACGGCCUUCGAGUUGUAAACCGCUUUCGCCUGUGACGAAGCGUGAGUGACGGUAAUGGGUAAAGAAGCACCGGCUAACUACGUG